UGUGACAGGGUCAUCCCGAGUGCCGACCGCUGAGGUUGGCUUUUACCCAGUCUAGAAAGCUGGGGGAAUAAGGAGAGGGCAAGUCUGGUGUCAGCCGCCGCGGUAAUACCAGCUCUCCGAGUGGUGUGGACGUUUAUUGGGCCUAAAGCAUCCGUAGCUGGCUGAACAAGUCCCCUGUUAAACCCACCGAUUUAAUCGUUGGUCUGCGGGGGAUACUGCUCGGCUAGGGGACGAGAGAGGCAGACGGUAUUCCCGGGGUAGGGGUGAAAUCCUAUAAUCCCGAGAAGACCACCAGCGGCGAAGGCUGUCUGCUAGAACGCGCCCGACGGUGAGGGAUGAAAGCUGGGGGAGCGAACCGGAUUAGAUACCCGGGUAGUCCCAGCUGUAAACGAUGCAGACUAGGUGUUUGGACGGCCACGUGCCGUUCUAGUGCCGCAGGGAAGCUGUUAAGUCUGCCGCCUGGGGAGUACGAUCGCAAGAUGGAAACUUAAAGGAAUUGGCGGGGGAGCAC
This 511-nucleotide ribosomal RNA is filed under the name uncultured archaeon. Its description in RNAcentral is "bacterial SSU rRNA". It matches the Rfam family "Archaeal small subunit ribosomal RNA", at positions 366 to 879 of the family's 1478-position model. The record is from RNAcentral.